UACGGGGGGGGUAAGCGUUGUUCGGAAUUACUGGGCGUAAAGGGCUCGUAGGCGGCCAACUAAGUCAGACGUGAAAUCCCUCAGCUUAACUGGGGAACUGCGUCUGAUACUGGAUGGCUUGGAUUCGGGAGAGGAAUGCGGAAUUCCAGGUGUAGCGGUGAAAUGCGCAGAUAUCAGGAGGAACACCGAUGGCGAAGGCAGGUCUCUGGGCAUUAACUGACGCUGAGGAGCGAAAGCAUGGGGAGCGAACAGG
Molecule: ribosomal RNA, 253 nt
Filed under: uncultured bacterium
Lineage: Bacteria
Description: partial 16S ribosomal RNA
Rfam family: Bacterial small subunit ribosomal RNA
Source: RNAcentral